Molecule: unclassified non-coding RNA, 396 nt
Filed under: Hevea brasiliensis (rubber tree)
Lineage: Eukaryota; Viridiplantae; Streptophyta; Magnoliopsida; Malpighiales; Euphorbiaceae
Source: RNAcentral
AAUGCUGCUGUCAUGAUUCAGCCAACACUAACAGCAUUUUCAUUCAAUUCACUGCCUUUCCCUGCUUUGUUGGAUGUGGCAUCCAUUGCAGCUGAUCGCAUUCUCUUGUUGGAUGCUUAUUUUAGUGUAGUUAUUUUCCAUGGAAUGACAAUAGCUCAAUGGAGAAACAUGGGAUACCAGGAACAGCCUGAGCACCAGGCAUUUGCACAACUCUUGCAAGUUCCCCAUGAUGAGGCCCAAGCAAUCAUCCGUGAGAGAUUUCCUGUUCCAAGACUGGUAGUGUGUGAUCAGCAUGGUUCCCAGGCAAGGUUCCUUUUGGCAAAGUUGAAUCCAUCUGCCACGUACAAUAAUGCAAAUGAAAUGGCAGCUGGAUCAGACGUGAUCUUUACAGAUGAU